Triticum aestivum (bread wheat) is the source of this 979-nucleotide long non-coding RNA. RefSeq lists it as uncharacterized. The record is from RefSeq and is a predicted model, not a curated record. The transcript is spliced from 4 exons. Lineage: Eukaryota; Viridiplantae; Streptophyta; Magnoliopsida; Poales; Poaceae.
GAUCCCAAACCCCUCCACGUCCGAUUUUUUUGCCAAACCACCGCCUCUUGUGCCCAGAGCCGCCCGUGCGAUCUCGCCGGAGUUUCGCCGUCCAGGAGCUCUUCAUUGGUCGAUUCCGUCGCCACUAGGAGAGACGCUCUAGGACGAGGUCCGAGAUUUCCGCCAGAGUUCUCCGACGCCGCCGCGCCAUAGUUGGAGAACCGCAGCCAGCAGAGGCCACCCCGUCACCCGGACGUCUCCGACCUCCCUACCGUCGUGCACCUCUUCCUCUGGUCGGUCCACCAUCGCCGGAGAUUCCCUGUAGUCGUCACCGUCGUCGAGGUCUGAGCCGCCGAGGUCCUCUUCUCCAAGUCCGGUGGCCGCCCAGCCCUGUCUCUCCGAUUGUCCAAAGUGUGAAGCGGAUCAGGAUUAAUCGUUAGAGUACUUCAACAAUGUUCAAGGCAAGUUUGCACUUUGAUUGUGCUUAUCCUAUAUUCUGCUAUGCAAGUGUGAUUUUAUGCUAAGAUAUAUGUUUGGCCUAGCCGUGUUGUCAUGUUUUGGUAUUGAUUGUAUUAUGUGUUGGUGUGAUCAAGUUGCUAUGGUAGACGUGGGCAUGUGUCGAGUUAUGCAUGGAAGUGGUGAGCGCACUUGAGUUGUCGGGGCUUUUUCUCAUGUGAAUGCAUCACUCGCUGAGCGCUCUAUUGUCCCUAGAGAAUGCGCCAGGACUGAGCACACUUGAGACAUCUUGAAGAUCUUUGUCAUCUGUGUUGUGUGCACCUUGCCUAUGCAAUGGAGGAUUUUCAGAUGAUUAGUGAGAUACAGUAGGGUUGCAAGUCUUCACUCAGCAGUUCGCUAGUGGGCAUUGACGGGACUCAUCGUUUAUUAUGCUACAUUUUCCAUUGUUAUUAUUGAAUAAAGCUAGCUAUGUGCUACUUAGUUUGUAAUACUUUAUGAAUUCUGGAUCAUACGUUAUAGUAAAUAAUGCACUUGUUAUUUGGUA